UAUAUUUUAGUGUAUGAGGCACAAAGAAUUUUGAUUUCUUAGGUUUUAGUUUAAUUCUAAAAAAUAUAA
This 69-nucleotide transfer RNA is filed under the name Velinus nodipes. RNAcentral describes it as "tRNA-Gln". Lineage: Eukaryota; Metazoa; Arthropoda; Insecta; Hemiptera; Reduviidae. The record is from RNAcentral.